GAUGAACGCUGGCGGCGUGCUUAACACAUGCAAGUCGAACGGAAAGGCCCAAGCUUGCUUGGGUACUCGAGUGGCGAACGGGUGAGUAACACGUGGGUGAUCUGCCCUGCACUUCGGGAUAAGCCGGGGAAACUGGGUCUAAUACCGGAUAGGACCACAUUUUGGAUGGUGUGGUGGAAAGUUUUUCGGUGUGGGAUGAGCUCGCGGCCUAUCAGCUUGUUGGUGGGGUAAUGGCCUACCAAGGCGUCGACGGGUAGCCGGCCUGAGAGGGUGUACGGCCACAAUGGGACUGAGAUACGGACCAGACUCCUACGGGAGGCAGCAGUGGGGAAUAUUGCACAAUGGGCGCAAGCCUGAUGCAGCGACGCCGCGUGGGGGAUGACGGCCUUCGGGUUGUAAACUCCUUUCGCUAGGGACGAAGCGCAAGUGACGGUACCUGGAGAAGAAGCACCGGCUAACUACGUG
RNAcentral lists this ribosomal RNA (465 nucleotides) under uncultured bacterium. RNAcentral's name for it is "partial 16S ribosomal RNA". It matches the Rfam family "Bacterial small subunit ribosomal RNA", at positions 28 to 507 of the family's 1533-position model. The record is from RNAcentral.